AUGGCUAAUUCUAUGCUGGGCAAGUGGGAGGAAGCUGCUCGUGAUCUGCAUGCCGCGUCAAACAUUGAUUACAAUGAUGAGAUCAAAGCUACCCUCAAGAAGGUGGAGCCUAAUGCACACAAGAUAGUGGAGCACCGCAGGAAGUAUGACAGGCUCUGGAAAGAGAGGAAUGACAAGAAAUCUGAGCGUGACCGGCUUCGUCGACGUGCUGAGGCAUAA
RNAcentral lists this ribosomal RNA (219 nucleotides) under Triticum aestivum (bread wheat). Its description in RNAcentral is "partial small subunit ribosomal RNA". The record is from RNAcentral. Lineage: Eukaryota; Viridiplantae; Streptophyta; Magnoliopsida; Poales; Poaceae.